This 74-nucleotide transfer RNA is filed under the name Patescibacteria group bacterium. RNAcentral describes it as "tRNA-Gly". It matches the Rfam family "tRNA". Rfam says of the family: Transfer RNA (tRNA) molecules are approximately 80 nucleotides in length. Their secondary structure includes four short double-helical elements and three loops (D, anti-codon, and T loops). The record is from RNAcentral.
GCGGGUAUGGUUUAGUGGUAGAAUGGAUCCUUGCCAAGGAUCAGACUCGGGUUCGAUUCCCGAUACCCGCACAA